RNAcentral lists this ribosomal RNA (747 nucleotides) under bacterium. RNAcentral's name for it is "bacterial SSU rRNA". It matches the Rfam family "Bacterial small subunit ribosomal RNA", at positions 68 to 825 of the family's 1533-position model. The record is from RNAcentral.
GAUGAUCCGGUGCUUGCACCGGGGAUUAGUGGCGAACGGGUGAGUAACACGUGAGUAACCUGCCCUUGACUCUGGGAUAAGCCUGGGAAACCGGGUCUAAUACCGGAUAUGACUGCCGGCCGCAUGGCCUGGUGGUGGAAAGCUUUAUUGCGGUUUUGGAUGGACUCGCGGCCUAUCAGCUUGUUGGCGGGGUAAUGGCCCACCAAGGCGACGACGGGUAGCCGGCCUGAGAGGGUGACCGGCCACACUGGGACUGAGACACGGCCCAGACUCCUACGGGAGGCAGCAGUGGGGAAUAUUGCACAAUGGGCGCAAGCCUGAUGCAGCGACGCCGCGUGAGGGAUGAAGGCCUUCGGGUUGUAAACCUCUUUCAGUAGGGAAGAAGCGAAAGUGACGGUACCUGCAGAAGAAGCGCCGGCUAACUACGUGCCAGCAGCCGCGGUAAUACGUAGGGCGCAAGCGUUAUCCGGAAUUAUUGGGCGUAAAGAGCUCGUAGGCGGUUUGUCGCGUCUGCCGUGAAAGUCCGGGGCUUAACUCCGGAUCUGCGGUGGGUACGGGCAGACUAGAGUGCAGUAGGGGAGACUGGAAUUCCUGGUGUAGCGGUGAAAUGCGCAGAUAUCAGGAGGAACACCGAUGGCGAAGGCAGGUCUCUGGGCUGUAACUGACGCUGAGGAGCGAAAGCAUGGGGAGCGAACAGGAUUAGAUACCCUGGUAGUCCAUGCCGUAAACGUUGGGCACUAGGUGUGG